CCUACGGGCAGCUGCAGUGGGGAAUAUUGGACAAUGGGCGAAAGCCUGAUCCAGCCAUGCCGCGUGUGUGAAGAAGGCCUUCGGGUUGUAAAGCACUUUCAGUGGGGAAGAAGGCCUUGGGGCUAAUACCCUCGAGGAAGGACAUCACCCACAGAAGAAGCACCGGCUAACUCCGUGCCAGCAGCCGCGGUAAUACGGAGGGUGCGAGCGUUAAUCGGAAUUACUGGGCGUAAAGCGCGCGUAGGCGGUCUGAUAAGCCGGUUGUGAAAGCCCCGGGCUCAACCUGGGAACGGCAUCCGGAACUGUCAGGCUAGAGUGCAGGAGAGGAAGGUAGAAUUCCCGGUGUAGCGGUGAAAUGCGUAGAGAUCGGGAGGAAUACCAGUGGCGAAGGCGGCCUUCUGGACUGACACUGACGCUGAGGUGCGAAAGCGUGGGUAGCAAACAGGAUUAGAUACCCUAGUAGUC
This 465-nucleotide ribosomal RNA is filed under the name Vreelandella stevensii. RNAcentral describes it as "partial 16S ribosomal RNA". It matches the Rfam family "Bacterial small subunit ribosomal RNA", at positions 338 to 795 of the family's 1533-position model. Lineage: Bacteria; Pseudomonadati; Pseudomonadota; Gammaproteobacteria; Oceanospirillales; Halomonadaceae. The record is from RNAcentral.